AUGCUCGUCACUCCCCUUGUAGCAUCCAGCAUAGACGUUGGCAGGAAAGCGAAAAAGAUAUUCACACAGCAUAUGAGUCAUGGUUUUAAAAAAAGCUGGACAACAACCUUUAAGAAAACAGAAAGAAUGUGCGGAUCGCCGCAAAAAAUAUGUACCAAAACUUGUUUCUCAUACUCGAUGAUAAAUCGAAAAGAAAAAAGGAAAGCCAUUCUCAUGGAAAAGAUAGUGUUUCUUAAAGGGCCGCUUCACCGAAAAUAUAGCUUCCAAGCAACGAGGCUUGUGGUUGGGGCAGCCACCGACUGGACUGGACUGGACUAG
Molecule: ribosomal RNA, 318 nt
Filed under: Triticum aestivum (bread wheat)
Lineage: Eukaryota; Viridiplantae; Streptophyta; Magnoliopsida; Poales; Poaceae
Description: partial small subunit ribosomal RNA
Source: RNAcentral